GCUGUGGGGUCUGAAAGGCUCUAAAAGGCUGUAGUUGGGGAGGGUGGAUAUGAAAGACCCUAAAAUGGGGCUGUGGGGUCUGAAAGGCCCUAAAAGGGGGCAGUUGUGGGGGGAGAGAGAGGAUAUGAAAGGCCGUGAAAUGGGGCCAUGGGGUCUGAGAGGCCCUAAAAUGGGGCUGAAAAGCCCUAAAAGGGGAUGGCUGGUGGGGGAGGUGAGUAUGAAAGGCCCUGAAAUGGGGCCAUGGAGUCUGAGAAGCCCCGAAAUGGGGCACUUUUUGGGGGGGGUGGUGGAUCUGAAAGGCCCUAAAAUGGGGCCAUGGGGUCUGAGAAGCCCUGAAAUGGGGCCAUGGGGUCUGAAAGGCCCUAAAAUGGGGCCAUGGGGUCUGAAAAGCCCUGAAAUGGGGCCAUGGGGUCUGAAAGGCCCUAAAAUGGGGCCGUGGGAUCUGAGGGGCUCUGAAAUGGGGCCAUGGGGUCUGAAAAGCCCUAAAAGGGAGCAGUUGGGGAGGGAUAUGAAAAGUCCUAAAAUGGGGCAGUUUUUUGGGGGGGGUCUGAAAAGCCCUAAAACGGGGUCAUGGGAUCUGAAAGGCCCUAAAAUGGGGUCGUGGGGUCUGUCCUUACAAAUAGCUGGUGUGAAAAAGUCGAAAUGCCAUCUAUGUUAGCAACAGGCUUUAGAAAUAUCGUUGCUGAGUUGUGUGAUUAAUUCUUGCUUGCAGAACUGCGAUAGUUUUUAAAUGUUCCAAAUAUACAGGUAUAGUAUUAUGGACUAGAAAGCAGAUUGUAGGGCUGUUCUGUUUGGAUAAGAGACUCUCAGCAAAAGAAAAACAGACUUCACAAACAUCAAAUUAGGCAGGGUCUCUACACGAGGCUGGCUUGCCUUGCUCUGUAGGUAGGUUGGGAUGCAACAGGCAGGCAUCAGGAUAUUCCCCUCUGUCCUCCUUCCAAGCUUAUCUCUACGCAAGGACGAGCAGAUGUCCAUAAAAAAUGACCGAGCGUCGAAUGAGCAAAUUUGAGCGUCGGGAAGAUUGUGAACUUGAAGCACUGAGCCAAUGAGGAACCAGGGGAGAAAGAGCUCUGAAAAUGCCAUCCCUCCGUCGCGGGAACAGAACUGCAGGAGAAUAGCAGAAAAUGGGCAACGUUUGGGACCAGCACUGACCCCAGGGGAAGCGUCAGCCCUCCACUUCCCCAAAAUUCGGGAUGAAAAAAGGGGAAAUGGGGCAAAAGGAGGAAGCUGUUCAGGCUGAAGGCCGUUCACCUUCUGACUGCGUUUGUUUUUUCCCAGCUCUUUGGUCCGCUGUGAAAUUUGGCAGAAAUUGGGCAAAAGUGAAUUUCCUUGUGAGUUUCAGGCUUUUGUUUUCGGUGGUGGGGACGGCUGGAUGAAAACCCUGCAGGAAACAGGAGAAUGUUCAGAAGGAAGGAAGGGAACACCGUCCUAAGGAGGAUUUUCAUGACACGCAGUGAUAAGGAUGAGAAGUUCUCACCCAACCCUAAGACAGAACCCACCCUCGUACAGAAGAAAAUACAGCUGAGUCUGGCUGCAAGCGUCAGAGAACACCAGUUGUUUUGGUCUAAAACUUCCAGAAAAAACCACCGACUUCGGAGAAGUGUUGGCUUCACUUGUGGGGAGCGGUGUGGUUUUUUAGCUAUUUCUCCUAAAAAUCAGCAAAGGAGGGGCUGUGGCACAUGGCCAGAGGCUUCACGAGUGCGUCAGCUGCUGUGAAAAUUCCUGAGUUUGCACAUUUGUCAUUGAGUUGUGGGUUUUCUUUUGUUGUCGUUGGUUGGUUUU
Long non-coding RNA from Phasianus colchicus (ring-necked pheasant), 1782 nucleotides. RefSeq lists it as uncharacterized. The record is from RefSeq and is a predicted model, not a curated record. NCBI's taxonomy places the organism in Eukaryota, Metazoa, Chordata, Aves, Galliformes, Phasianidae.